GACGAACGCUGGCGGCGUGCUUAACACAUGCAAGUCGAACGGAAAGGCCCUGCUUUUGUGGGGUGCUCGAGUGGCGAACGGGUGAGUAACACGUGAGUAACCUGCCCUUGACUUUGGGAUAACUUCAGGAAACUGGGGCUAAUACCGGAUAGGAGCUCCUGCUGCAUGGUGGGGGUUGGAAAGUUUCGGCGGUUGGGGAUGGACUCGCGGCUUAUCAGCUUGUUGGUGGGGUAGUGGCUUACCAAGGCCUUGACGGGUAGCCGGCCUGAGAGGGUGACCGGCCACAUUGGGACUGAGAUACGGCCCAGACUCCUACGGGGGGCAGCAGUGGGGAAUAUUGCACGAUGGGCGGAAGCCUGAUGCAGCAACGCCGCGUGCGGGAUGACGGCCGUCGGGUUGUAAACCGCUUGCGCCUGUGACGAAGCGUGAGUGACGGUAAUGGGUAAAGAAGCACCGGCUAACUACGUG
Molecule: ribosomal RNA, 468 nt
Filed under: uncultured bacterium
Lineage: Bacteria
Description: partial 16S ribosomal RNA
Rfam family: Bacterial small subunit ribosomal RNA
Source: RNAcentral